GCCGACUUAGCUCAGUGGUAGAGCAGCUGUUUUGUAAACAGCAGGUCGUCAGUCCGAAUCUGACAGUCGGCUCCA
Molecule: transfer RNA, 75 nt
Filed under: Candidatus Levybacteria bacterium RIFCSPLOWO2_02_FULL_37_11
Lineage: Bacteria; Candidatus Levyibacteriota
Also listed under: 1 other name
Description: tRNA-Thr
Rfam family: tRNA
About the family: Transfer RNA (tRNA) molecules are approximately 80 nucleotides in length. Their secondary structure includes four short double-helical elements and three loops (D, anti-codon, and T loops). Further hydrogen bonds mediate the characteristic L-shaped molecular structure. tRNAs have two regions of fundamental functional importance: the anti-codon, which is responsible for specific mRNA codon recognition, and the 3' end, to which the tRNAs corresponding amino acid is attached (by aminoacyl-tRNA synthetases). tRNAs cope with the degeneracy of the genetic code in two manners: having more than one tRNA (with a specific anti-codon) for a particular amino acid; and 'wobble' base-pairing, i.e. permitting non-standard base-pairing at the 3rd anti-codon position.
Source: RNAcentral